RNAcentral lists this ribosomal RNA (428 nucleotides) under uncultured archaeon. RNAcentral's name for it is "bacterial SSU rRNA". It matches the Rfam family "Archaeal small subunit ribosomal RNA", at positions 474 to 903 of the family's 1478-position model. The record is from RNAcentral.
UACCAGCUCUCCGAGUGGUAGGGAUGAUUAUUGGGCUUAAAGCGUCCGUAGCCGGCUUAGCAAGUCUCCUGUUAGAUUCAGCGACCUAAUCGUUGAGCCGCGGGAGAUACUACUAGGCUAGGAGGCGGGAGAGGUCAACGGUACUUCCGGGGUAGGGGUGAAAUCCUAUAAUCCCGGGAGGACCACCAGUGGCGAAGGCUGUCGGCUAGAACGCGCUCGACGGUGAGGGACGAAAGCUGGGGGAGCGAACCGGAUUAGAUACCCGGGUAGUCCCAGCUGUAAACGAUGCGGGCUAGGUGUUGGGGUGGCUACGAGCCACUUCAGUGCCGCAGGGAAGCCAUUAAGCCCGCCGCCUGGGGAGUACGGCCGCAAGGCUGAAACUUAAGGAAUUGGCGGGGGAGCACCACAAGGCGUGAAGCUUGCGGUUC